This is a long non-coding RNA of Oncorhynchus keta (chum salmon), 925 nucleotides long. RefSeq lists it as uncharacterized. NCBI's taxonomy places the organism in Eukaryota, Metazoa, Chordata, Actinopteri, Salmoniformes, Salmonidae. The transcript is spliced from 3 exons. The record is from RefSeq and is a predicted model, not a curated record.
CAAAGUCUCACUUUGUAGACUUGAGUAAAUUAGACCAACGUUCAGGAGCAUGAAUCUAUCAGCACUUCACUCAGUGAGCUCAGCUCCCCUGUCAGGCUGUGUUGCUGCUCCAGGUGGGAUAUAGAAUGUGAGCUCAGCUCCCCUGCUCAGCUCCCCUGCCAGGCGGUGUUGCUGCUCCAGGUGGGAUAUAGAAUGUGAGCUCAGCUCCCGUCAGGCUGUGUUGCUGCUCCAGGUGGGAUAUAGAAUGUGAGCUCAGCUCCCGUCAGGCUGUGUUGCUGCUCCAGGUGGGAUAUAGAAUGUGAGCUCAGCUCCCGUCAGGCUGUGUUGCUGCUCCAGGUGGGAUAUAGAAUGUGAGCUCAGCUCCCCUGUCAGGCUGUGUUGCUGCUCCAGGUGGGAUAUAGAAUGUGAGCUCAGCUCCCCUGUCAGGCUGUGUUGCUGCUCCAGGUGGGAUAUAGAAUGUGAGCUCAGCUCCCCUGCUCAGCUCCCCUGCUCAGCUCCCCUGCUCAGCUCCCCUGCGAGGCUGUGUUGCUGCUCCAGGUGGGAUAUAGAAUGUGAGCUCAGCUCCCGUCAGGCUGUGUUGCUGCUCCGGGUGGGAUAUAGAAUGUGAGCUCAGCUCCCCUGCUCAGCUCCCCUGCUCAGCUCCCCUGCUCAGCUCCCCUGCCAGGCUGUGUUGCUGCUCCAGGUGGGAUAUAGAAUGUGAGCUCAGCUCCCGUCAGGCUGUGUUGCUGCUCCGGGUGGGAUAUAGAAUGUGAGCUCAGCUCCCCUGCUCAGCUCCCCUGCCAGGCUGUGUUGCUGCUCCAGGUGGGAUAUAGAAUGUGAGCUCAGCUCCCCUGUCAGGCUGUGUUGCUGCUCCAGGUGGGAUAUGGGAUGUGAGCUCAGCUCCCCUGCUCAGCUCCCCUGUCAGGCUGUGUUGCUGCUCCAGGUG